GCACAGCAUCAUAAAAUUAAGUUGUUGCAUCUUAACGUACUUCUCGAGGUAUGGUCACGAGCAGGGCCGGAGCAAGCUGAACUGCCGCUCUAGGCAGAGGACGAUCACGCCGCCCUCAACCCCAAUGUGAAAACGAAAGUGACCGGUUAUGAAAAUGAAGUGAGGUGUCGCGGACCUUUAUUCUGCCGCCCUAUGCGCGGAUAUAACUGAGGACGCGCGGGUUCUGAGGGAGGGAGGUGUCGCCGACGUUGCUCUCUCUAUUCUGCCGCCCUAUGCAAGGAAAUAACUGAGGACGCGCGGGUGUCGCGGACCUCUAUUCUGCCACCCUAUGCGCGGAUAUAACUGAGGACGCGCGGGUGCUGAGGGAGAGAGGGAGGUGUUGCUGACGCUGCCCUCUCUAUUCUGUCGCCAAUGCGCGAAUAUAUCUGAGGACGCGGGUGGUGAGGGAGGUGUCAUGGACAUAACUGAGGACGCAGGUGGUAGGGGGGUGUUGCGGACGUCGCCCUCUCUAUACUGCCGCCCCAGGCGGCCGCCUAGGUCGCCUCUAUGAAUGCGCCGGCCCUGGUCACGAGGAAUCCUGCUUCAGAAAUAAUUCCUCUCUCUCAGUAACGCACAAAACUUGUUGUCGAAGAAGAAGAAAUCAACAUUCUCUCAUUCAUAUGGAUUUACUUUCAUCGGCUAGAUAUUGGCCUAACAGCUCUGUGAAUGUCGGUGCCGUCACUUAUUGAUCCGCGAUUUGUAAAUGUAGCUUGUGUGGACGCCACUGCGCUACUUGACUAAUAAAAUAGCUUCGCUACUGAAAAGCUAUUUGAUUUAGAAAGUAGUGACGCUACCGUCACGCUACUGAGAAAUGUAUUUAAGCUAGUAGCAUCACUACUUGGAGCGACGCUACUGCCCAACACUGCCUGGCAAUAACUUUUUUUCCAUGGGACUCUGGCAUGAAUAGGCAGAGUGAUCUGUGUCUUUACUAUAGCUUCAACAAACUUAGUUGGUGAAAAGACGCACAACCAAAAGGAACCCACCAACAGUAUCUGAGGUUUUCACUAAAAUUACUAAGUACAAGUGUGAAAGCGAGAGAUUGAAGCAGUCUACUGAUGCUGUGACACAUUACCUGAAAGACUCAAAAGACUGAAGAGUUGUUAGAUGGAGACAAGAUUAAUAAAUAUCACCUUUAACAAUUAUAGUGAGACGUGAUUCAGCUGUACAUCCUUGAUAAACUGUCCAACGUGCACUGCUUUCUGGGCUGACUGCUGGAGCUCAGAUGCUGCAGUGCAUGACAGAGUGUGUGUGCUCACGUGAUGUGCGUUUUCAGUGGUAUAGUGUGGAAAGAGGGCUUUAUAGAAAUGGUAGAUGAAAUGCCAGUGUGUGGAUGUGGAUUGUUUUUUGUUCUCAAAUGCCAUUUUAAAACUAAGACGUAUUGUAAAUGGGGCUUGAGUGUGUAUUUUUCAGGAGCAGGUUUCUGCUGCGACGAAGGAGGGGCGGAGGAUCGCGUCUAUCUACCCAACCUUAAAACAUACAGUCUCAAGGCUGAUUUAUACUUCUGCGUCAAGCGCAUGCGUAUGCUAUGACGCAGCAUACAAGUUGACGCAUAGCCCUACGGCGUAGCCGUAGCUGAUGUGCACCUCUCAAAAAAUUUAACUACACGUCGAAACGACACGUAGCGCAAGCUCUGUGAAUGGUCGGCUUGGUAGCGCUGACAAAUCUGGGCGGGACCGAGAGCCGCGCUAGCCCAAUGGAGCGAUUGUUUACAAGUGUGGAGUCCCGUAAAGGAGCUUCGGAUGGAAAGUUUUGUUUUGUGUUUACCUCAUAGUUAAAGUUAUUGCACGUCCGCUGGUUCCUGCCUCAAAAUGAGCGAGUUUGAGCCACUUGUACAUUCAGGAAGUGUUCGGAAAAGUCAAAGCACCAGCGAAAAAACUCGACAGAAGUAUAAAUAAACAGUGCGCAGAAGUAUAAAUGCACAGCUACGCAGGUUGCAUGCGCCGUGGGUUACGCCGGUGACUUGACGCAGAAGUAUAAACCAGGCUUCAUCCAGCAGUUAAAGUAUAUUUACAUUAUAGUUAGUAUAUUAGUUUUGCAGUAGUUAAUUAUGACAAGACCAAUAAACUCUUUAGUUAAAAUAAGUUAAACACAACAAAUAUAUUGUUCAACUUUCCCAGUUUAUUGAGCACAUUCCUCUUCUUAAAUACUUAAUCAUGCAUCAUAAUAUGCGUCAUUAAUAACAAAUUCAAUAAAAUCCACAGACUGAAUCCAUAAUUAAGUAACACAAAUGUGUUGUUAAAAGCUUUUAUUAACUUAUUCAAUUCAUACGAUUGUUCGAAUGGCUUCUCUGAUCUCCUGAAGCAGAUCCUCGGGUUUGAAGCUGAGAGUUGCAGGGUCCAGUCUCUUAAAGUCUUCGUUGUUAAGCAUGAUCUCAAAUAUAUGCAGAACUCUCUGGAGGUCGAAGGCGGCGUGAUGAGGGCCUAAUGCGCACAGGCUUUCCGCAAGGAGAUCUUGGCAGCUGUCUGCAUUUCUGGGACUUGAGUUCAAAAAGGAUAUCCGAUUAUUCGCGAUAGUCUUGAGGAAAGAGGCGAACUCGGCAUAAUCGAUUCCUGUGCAUGAUUUCAUGAUCACCUGAAACAAAUAAGAAAACAUGCCAAAAACCCUACUUGAUUAUUACUUUGUUUAUUACUUAACAUUAAAGACACAUCAUGACAUGUAUUAGUUUAUCCAUGCCAUAUAUUUGAACCCUCUGGUGUUCCUUAGUUAUGAAUUACACUUCGCGGUCAAGAAGGGACAAACACCCGUAAAGUCCCCUGUUUUUUUGUUUGUAAAUUCAAUCAAAUUAAUUUUUGUUUUAAAAUAUUUUUUCUAUAUAAUUUUGAAUUUUGAGAGGGUUUUGUGGUAAUAAUGAAUAUUUAUGCAGUAACUAACAUCCAUUUUUCCCCAUUGAAAACAAUGGAAUUUUAUUUUUUUUUAUUUUUUUUUUUUAUUGCAAUAUUUCCAGGUAAAAUAAAGACUCUGCCAUUCAAACACGAUUACUUUUUGGGGAGUAACUCAAUAUUGUAAUGUGUUAUUUUCAAAAGUAACUUUCCCCAACACUGGUUACCUGACAGUGCUGAUGCCAGGUGUCCAUAGUAUCGCGCCAUUCCUCGAUUUCCCUCUGGACGGAAGAAAGCUCAUCUUGCAGAAACUGCCACAUGAUGUCCAAAUUACAGCCGUUCAGCCAGUUAUGAUUGAUUGAAAUGGUGUCCUCCUAUUGAUGAGAGAGGCGAUAUGGAAACUAGGUUAGCAGACUGGUCUAAGAUAUAGGAAUAGUCAUAAAAUUGAUGCCGAAAAAAAUCAAAGCAAGAUAUAAUUUGAUAUUUUUUUUGUUCGAUUGAUGUGAAGUCAAGUUAAACUGUGGGUCCC
Molecule: long non-coding RNA, 3387 nt
Filed under: Danio rerio (zebrafish)
Lineage: Eukaryota; Metazoa; Chordata; Actinopteri; Cypriniformes; Danionidae
Description: lncRNA (ENSDARG00000096972.2)
Source: RNAcentral